UUCCUCUUUAUUGGACGGAGAAACCCAACGGGAUCACCGAUCCCUCAGAGGAAUCCUUGUCCGCCAACGAUAAAGCCUUUCUUAAUCUCCUUGCCCCACUUCCCAUCCUUGACUGCACAACAGUCCUUGAGGGCGCUGACCUCUCAAGGACUCCCAAAUACUUAGGUUGCCCAUAGCUCACUUUUAUUAUUGACAUUUCCUUUCUCGACUCCUAUGUUGUCACUGAUCGUUUUUUUUAUUAUUACAGAAGAUAUGAAUUUCACGAACGCCGAGCUCCUGAAGGCCCGCGAGAGGAGAAUGGCUCGCUUUUCCCCAAAAUUCAACACUGAGGGCGACGCGAAAAAACGGGGCGGUGCUGAGAACCAAGCCGAGAGCACCAAAGCUCCCAAGAGGAGAAGAUUGGCCAAAACCUCCUCCGGCGCCGGCACAUCCAACCCCGGCGCUCAGCCCACCACUGCUGCUGCGCCUAAAGGCAAAAAUGUCGCUGAAGCCUCCGUCGCCGCAGCUACCGAGCCAACCGCCGUACCAGCUUCUAUUCCUGCCUCCGC
RNAcentral lists this long non-coding RNA (548 nucleotides) under Lotus japonicus. RNAcentral's name for it is "long non-coding RNA (LJAP_LNC001157)". The record is from RNAcentral. Lineage: Eukaryota; Viridiplantae; Streptophyta; Magnoliopsida; Fabales; Fabaceae.